GACGAACGCUGGCGGCGUGCCUAAUACAUGCAAGUCGAGCGGACCAAUAGAAAAGCUUGCUUUUCUUGAGGUUAGCGGCGGACGGGUGAGUAACACGUGGGCAACCUACCUGUAAGACUGGGAUAACUUACGGAAACGUGAGCUAAUACCGGAUAGUUUCACUUCUCGCAUGAGAAGUGAAGGAAAGAUGGCUUUUAGCUAUCACUUACAGAUGGGCCCGCGGCGCAUUAGCUAGUUGGUGGGUAAAGGCCUACCAAGGCAACGAUGCGUAGCCGACCUGAGAGGGUGAUCGGCCACACUGGGACUGAGACACGGCCCAGACUCCUACGGGAGGCUG
This 337-nucleotide ribosomal RNA is filed under the name uncultured Bacillota bacterium. Its description in RNAcentral is "bacterial SSU rRNA". It matches the Rfam family "Bacterial small subunit ribosomal RNA", at positions 28 to 351 of the family's 1533-position model. Lineage: Bacteria; Bacillati; Bacillota. The record is from RNAcentral.